This is a long non-coding RNA of Dermacentor andersoni, 2121 nucleotides long. RefSeq lists it as uncharacterized. The record is from RefSeq and is a predicted model, not a curated record. Lineage: Eukaryota; Metazoa; Arthropoda; Arachnida; Ixodida; Ixodidae.
UUUCCUUUUCAAGCAAAUUACAAACAGUGGACGACGUAUUCUUUUACGCAAUAUUUUCCGCGUGUUCACGACGUAGAACAGGACUACACUGUAGUCCGCUAAGAAAAUUCAGGCGGAAAGUGACAAAACUUAGCAACUACGUUUUUCAGCGUACGCUGCGCUUUGUGAGGUAACGUCGGAUUUGAGUAUUAAAUUUACCUUUAGUUUUUUGUUAUACCACACAUAAGGGCUAGCCAGUGGGCUUGACAAAUGUAUAUUGUCUAUUCUUAGCUUUACGGAAUGUACACCCUUGCAACUUUUUAACAAUAACGCGCAAGCGCCGACCACACGACGUGUCAGUUGCCUUGCAGUGGUGAGGGGCACUCCUGAAGCGAACAGUGCAGCAGUACACAUUCGAACUAGAGUUCGCCUUGCACGACCGCACGUAAAGUUGCCAAUCCCGCCGUCCUUGGCCACUACAAGGCUGCGGACACGCCUUACCAUCGACGCUCGCGUGCUAUUGUUAAAAAAUUGCAAGGGUGUACUCGUGUUCGCUGUUGCUCCAAGAAAAAGAAAGCAUGCGCGAGCUCUCAACAAAGCUCACCAAGCGACGUUAGCUCUCAGCUAGGAUCAAGUGUUCGGCUUGUUUGAGUGAAAGCAAGGUGGGACUUGUUUUUCUGUUGUGCAAUAUUUUAUUUGUUUUGAUGCCGGCAUAUCAACCUGCCACAUAUGAGGGAACAUGGUAUCCAGUAUUGCUUUUGUUCCUUCGUUAGCUGCGGUGCGAGUGCUUUAGUGCAUUACCAUCGGCAAAUGAUUUUGCCAGGCCACUGAUUAAGUUCCUUCAUUUUGAAAAUAGUUAGUGGCAACGCUGGUCUGCGUGGCUUUGUGUACUCUCAGAGCAUUUUAAAACCACAGCGCGGAAGAUGCUGGCAUUUGAACCGUGAACAUACGCUGUCAUCACGCUCCUGGCCAGGAAGAGUUUCUCGUAUAUUGUCCGCUAGCCGCACUUCCUGCCUCUGACAAAGAAUUACUAACUGUAUGAUUGGCUGACUACAAAAAAUGAGAAAGAAAUGCUCAAAAUUUUCAUAAAUUAACCUGCAGCAACACCAUUUCGUAAAAAGAAAAGCAAAGCAACAUGUGUCAUUGUAUGACGUAGCUAAUACUAUACCGUUAGCGUAAUGUGUCCACCGUUUUAAUUGUCAGGACGGUUUUCUACUUUGCGUCAUUCUGCUAGACUUUGUUACGAAAAUAGCUGACGUGUAACUUGUUUGCGACUGAGCAUUUAGUGAUCGGGGGCAAGGGGAACGGACGGAGGCAGUGCGGGAGGGACCUCGACUCUGCCAACAAGUGCGUACUUUGCGCGCGCGACCGCGCGCCGUGUCUUGAAAUUGAUCUGCAUAUGGCCCAUGCCUUUGUGCGCGCUGUGUUCUCGCCGCUCUUGCGUUGAAGCCACGGAUCGCACGAAGGUCACUUCGCUCGCCGCUGCUGCUGCGCUUGCUGAUGCCAGCAUUAUCGAGUGUGAUGAGUUCACGUUUGCUUGUGCGCACUGACACCAUGCUUGUUAAUUCAGUUAGUAAGCAACUGUUUCCCUGUUAACACUGCCGAUAAAACUGGUAUCCUUGCUUCGUAUAACUGUCUACUAAUCUUCUAUCGCAAUCGGCGCUUCGCGUUUCCGGUGAAAGUGCCACUUCUUUUUAUAAAAGCAGCGCGUGGAGCAUAUAGCACAAUCCGGCCUGAAAAGACGAAUAAGGUGACUUUACUUGAGCGACAGAUUGCAAUGUUCAGGUUGCUAGUUAAAGCUACUUACUGAAUAACUUCAUAAGUAUUCUAUUUGAAGCAUAUGUACAGAUUCCGGAAUUGUGACCAAGAAGUAAUCAAGUCGUCGCAUCACGUCUCCACUGAUCGGCUUCAAUUCCGCACUUUCAUCAUGUGCCCUCAAGUGAAGGUUGACUGAAACGAAAUGGUAAUCUGGCUGGAAUAAACAUAAUUUGGAAGCGGCCUCCUCCCACACGGUUCUCACACUCGUGCACUGCAGGCCUUCGUUGACCACUCUUCAAAAAAAAAAGAAUUGUGCUUAAUUCACUGACUUCUGUACAACCAUGCUACUGCCGUAUGUAUAUUAAAGGACCACUGUUCAGGUCA